RNAcentral lists this ribosomal RNA (337 nucleotides) under uncultured bacterium. Its description in RNAcentral is "bacterial SSU rRNA". It matches the Rfam family "Bacterial small subunit ribosomal RNA", at positions 28 to 359 of the family's 1533-position model. The record is from RNAcentral.
GAUGAACGCUAGCUACAGGCUUAACACAUGCAAGUCGAGGGGCAUCACGGUGUAGCAAUACACUGGUGGCGACCGGUGCACGGGUGAGUAACACGUAUCCAACCUUCCCUUUACUCCGGGAUAGCCCAUCGAAAGGAUGGAUUAACACCGGAUGGUUUCGCGGGAUUGCAUGAUAUCGCGAAUAAAGGCUUACGGUAAAGGAUGGGGAUGCGUUCCAUUAGCUUGUUGGCAGGGUAACGGCCCACCAAGGCAACGAUGGAUAGGGGUUCUGAGAGGAAGGUCCCCCCACAUUGGAACUGAGACACGGUCCAAACUCCUACGGGAGGCAGCAGUGAGG